Molecule: transfer RNA, 72 nt
Filed under: Streptomyces gossypii
Lineage: Bacteria; Bacillati; Actinomycetota; Actinomycetes; Kitasatosporales; Streptomycetaceae
Description: tRNA-Val
Rfam family: tRNA
About the family: Transfer RNA (tRNA) molecules are approximately 80 nucleotides in length. Their secondary structure includes four short double-helical elements and three loops (D, anti-codon, and T loops).
Source: RNAcentral
GGGCGCAUAGCUCAGCGGUAGAGCGCUGCCCUUACAAGGCAGAUGUCGCAGGUUCGAUCCCUGCUGCGCCCA